Amphiprion ocellaris (clown anemonefish) is the source of this 8993-nucleotide RNA transcript. It is a transcript of the gene named retinoic acid-induced protein 1, with no coding region annotated. The transcript is spliced from 6 exons. The record is from RefSeq and is a predicted model, not a curated record. NCBI's taxonomy places the organism in Eukaryota, Metazoa, Chordata, Actinopteri, Pomacentridae.
GCAGAGGAGGGAGGAGAGCUAGAGGGGAGAGAGAGCGAGGGAGAGAGAGAGGGAGGCAGGCUGCUGCUAUCAGGGAAUACUGGUGCCAUUUUCAGCAUCGCAGGGUAAAAGGAUUGAGCCUCGCCGCUGUACGCUUGGCUCGGCUCAGCUCAGCUCAGCUCGCCUCGGCUCACACCGGCUGGACACGAAGGGGGGGAACUGGAGGGGCAACGAGAGGAGGAGAGCACGGCUGACCCCUAACACAGAACCCCCAACCCCCCUCCCCCCUUUCCCAUCUCACCUCACCUCCCCCUCCCUGCUCUGGCUACAGACGGAGAGCGUUAUGCAGUCCUUCCGUGAGCGCAGCGGUGGUUACCACAGCAACCAACCCUGCUACCAGCAGGAGCCCCAUGAAUUAUCCCGCCUGGAGACCUACCGGCAGCACCCGCAUCAUCCCCACCCCCAGCAUCCGCACCCAGGCCCCGGUCCACAUCCAGGCCCAGGCCCGGGGCACGCCAGGUCAGGCUAUGAGGCCCAUUCCCUCACAAACCCUACGAGCAUGCCUCAAGCUGGUGGAAUCGGAGGACCCAAGGACUGUUACAGCCAGCAAGCCUACGCUGGAUACCCAGGAAAUGGUGGCGGGAAUGCCAGUGGAAAUGGGGGCUCGGCACCAUCACAGGCAAAGAAAACCUUCAGAGGAAACAAAGUGCCACAGCCAAACCCCGGUCAGCACCUGCAGGGUCCUGGGGGCUACAGUAACCACAUGGGCCCUGGGAAUUACUCAGCCCAGUACAUGAGUGAAGGCCACCUGCAGCAGAAGUGGGAGGACCCAGCCCAGCUAGCACAGUAUGACCAGGAGAUGGUGGGACGGUUGGAGGCUGCUGGCACCCCUGCGCCUAGCUCCUCUCAGUACAUGGACCAGAACAUGCUGGGGCACUCCCAGACGCAGUGCCACCAGUCCUCCACCCCUGCCUAUACCAGCCCCCACCACCAGCCUCACCCACCUAACCCUGCCCCCUCACCUCUCAUGUACCCGCAGAGUCACCUGCACUACCCUCAGCACUCAAACUCCCCAUCGUCAUACAUGGAAAAGUGCAGCCCGAUGCCACAUUGUUACAAAGGUUACAACAUGCCUCCAAAUUCCCAGUACGGAAGGCAAAUGAGCAGCCACAGCAAUCUGAAGCAGGGAGGCUACAGGUCGACCCAGAACAGUUACGGUUACCAGCAGCCUCCCUCCAGAGGUUAUGAACAGCAGCCCCCUUUACAGGCCAUGACCAACCCCCAGGAGUCCCACCCCAAAUACCAACACUACAGCCAAGCCCAACAAAACUACUGUCUCUCAGAGCUGCCUGUCAGAUCACCAGAACAGUAUUAUCAGACUUGUAGCCCCUCCUCAAGCCACUCCCCUGCACGCUCUGUAGGCCGCUCCCCCUCGUAUAGCUCCACCCCUUCGCCACUAAUGACCAAUCCAGAGUCAUUCCAGUACGGUCAGCCACCCAUGACCCCUGGAACAGCCUCAUCCUCAUCAUCCUCCUCCACUGGAAUGCAGGAGCAAACCAGUACUAACCCCAUGCUGAUGCCCCCACGCUCACACCCCUCACCCAGUGUACCCCACGCAGCCCCCCACAGCUUCACUACGACACCGCAGGUCCCCACCAUGAAAGAACGUUUCUCAGAAAAACUGUUAUCAAACCCCAGCUUGUGGAGCCUGAAUGCCCUCACCUCUCAGGUGGAGAACAUCUCCAAUAACGUCCAGCAGCUGCUGCUCUCUGAAGCCCUGGUUGCAAACAAAAAAGGCAGCAAACGCAGCAGCGGUGGCAGCAACAGCAGUGCUGGAAGUGUUGCAUCCUCCAGAAAGGGUGAGGAGUACAAAAGUCCUCCAUAUCCAGAUGGGGGUGGUAGUGUUGGUGGGGGACCCAUGCAGGACCCUUACUCCACCCCACAGCACCAGCCAAUGCCCAUGGAGCUCCAUGAGGGCGGCUACUCCAGCAGCAGCGAUGAGCCACUGGAAAGGGGCUACUACUACUUUGGCCAGGGCAGAAGUCCAGCUCAGGCUCACAAUAGCACGCAACUCAGCCUGGACACAGCGUCCUCAUGCUCCAUGGCAUCUCCAGAUGAUAUGUCUACUCGGUCUGGGGACUCAGGUCUGCACAACCUCACACCUGACCCUACUAGAUGUCAGUCGGGGCAAGGAGGAGAUGGCAUAAGUACACCAGUGAAGAGCAUAGGCGAUGAGAGGUCACCAACAAGUAUUACAAUCCCCAGUCCUAUGAAACAAGAGAGAGACUCACCUUCUGAUAUACAGCAUAUUAAUGAGCCUGUAAAAGAGAAUUUUGAAGAAUCAGCCUGGACAGAAAAACCAUGUGACAAGGAGGAGGUGACAACGGACAAAACUCCUGACCAUGAGAGACACUCAGAGACAACUAAAUCCCCAGAGAAGCUAGAGAAAUGGUCAGAUGAAGAGAAAAGCCCAGCUGUCUACAGCAAAAUAAACAAAGAGGUUACAGAAAAAAGUUACUGCUAUGAGGAGACAGUGUACCAAGAGGUCCAGAGCAAAUACGACCCUGAUGCAAGAGACUCAGUCGAACAGUCUCCAGCAGCUCUCUCUGACUCCAGCCACAAAGGUCACUUUGGCCAAGAGAUGAAAUCAGAGGCCUUCAAAUCAGAAUCUCCGACUGCGUCUGAGAGCUCAGUGAAAACAUUGCCUUUUAUUUCUACAGGCGACCUUGAACCAGAUCAAUAUUCAACGGAGAAGGAGGACAGCUCAGAGAACACCUCUCCAACACCCCAAGUUGAGGCCUUGGAAGAGAGCAACUCAGACAAGAGAGAGAGUAGAGAUCAGGAGAAUGAAGAGGAAGAAGAGGGAGGAGGAGAAGAGGAGGAUAAUAAAGAGGAAGAAGAAGAAAUACAGAAACAACAGGAAUGUUCUCUAUCGCCUCCUUUGUCUGCAGAGGGGAGGGAGGAACAGGGGGAUGAGGAGACAGUGAGCCAGUCAUCAACUGAGGAGAACAUGAAUAAUAGAGACGGGCCAGAGAAGCCUUCUGGAGAUCUCAGCAGCAGGACGGAGAGUCAGACCGCUGAGCUCCAUACUGACAAUGAGUUUGCAGGAGCACCUGCACAUCCAAACACAGCAGCAGCAACAGCAGCAGCAGAUGCAUCUACAAUGGAGUCAGCGAUUGGUGAUACUGCUCCUCAGCCGCAGUCUGCUAUGCCAGUCUUUUCUGCUCUCAAUGACAAAGCAGCACCUCCAGCUCAGGCCAGGGAUCAUAUUGAUCACAGUGACGCUAAAGUGCUGGAGCCAGACUCUCCUCAGCUACCAGGGAAGUCGAUACUUCCCUCAGCCCCCUCCUGGGCAGACACCCCACCCUCCCCGAAAAAAGGUGAUGAGGACAUGGAACCAGGCAUCAGCUGUGCCAGUGCUGUGACCCCCUUGGCCAAGCCAGAGCCUGUAGUCCCAUCUGCUCAGCCGAGGGCAUUCGGACGUAAGCAUGCCAGAGGCAGAAGGAGAAUCAUGCAUUCAGGUGCAGGAAUCAGGCGACAGCUAAGCUUAGAAAGGGAAGGGGAAAAGGAAGAGGAAGGAGCUCAUUCGCCUACGCAAAAACCGAGCAUGCCUCCGAGCAAAACUGUGCUAUUCUCAGAUCAAAUGGACCUCGCUCAUCAGGAAUCUAUUGUGAGCCAAACUCCCAAAAUGCUAACUGAUGGUUUUCGUUCUAGAAUGUGCACUCGCUCAUUCAAUGCACCUGAUUUGCCACCAAAAGUUGAACCUCAUGUCAAGAGAAAACCAGGCCCAAAACCAGGGUCAAAGCCUGGCUCAAAACCAGGGCCCAAACCUGGUCUAAAACCAGGGCCCAAACCAGGAGCAAAGCCAGGGGCAAAACCAGGGCCUAAACCUGGUUUAAAGUCUGGACCAAAACCCGGACCAAAGCCCGGGCCAAAACCAGGGUCAAAACCUGUGCCAAAUGAACCAGAGCUGCCACCGAAAAUUGAGACUCCUGUAAAACGAAAACCAGGACCGAAACCCGGUUCAAAACCUGGGCCAAAACCUGGAUUAAAACCUGGACCAAAACCUGGUCCAAAACCAGCUCUAAAGCCUGGUCCAAAACCAGGACCUAAGCCUGGACCUAAGCCCUUAGAUGCGCUGCCUCCCGCUGAUAGUGCAACCAUAAGGGCCCCAGUGGGUCGCCCUAAAGGCUCAGUUUCUAAAACAAAAGUGGUGCAACAAGAAGAAACAGUUCAACCUUUAACGGGACUGCAAAGCAGAGGCAGAAAGAGUCAAAAAGCUGCAACAUCAGUAAACCAGGAUGAAAAACUGACACGACCAGAUGAAAAACAAGCACAGCAGGAGGUCAAGGCUCCAGAGAAGGAGGGUAAGAACAUGGUCUUGAGAUCCAGAAAGUCUUCGCAAGAAAAACUGUCAAAAGAAAAGGAAAAAAUCUUAAAUGAAGACUUUCUAACACAGACAAUAACAGAAAUUAAAGCAAGUGAUGUUUCUCCAAAAGUAGAAGAGCUCACACCUGUGGAACAAACUCUGACUCCCCUUCCCGAUGCAGUCAAAGACACAGAUGUUCCAGGAGAACCACCUGCACUGCCAGUCCCAACUGAGCAAUGUGAAGAAAAGGUAUCCCUUCCACUGAAGCGGAAACCUAGCCCAGAGCUUUCUACAACACCAGUAAAGAAAAAAAGAGGUCCAAAGCCCAAACCGAAACCUUUACCACCAGAACCCACCCUGCUGGAACAGGUUGUCCCUGCACCUAAUGAAAAGGGGGUCCGAGGCCCCAAAAGAAAGCGAGGGCCACCCAAAAAAGCCUCGGUGGUCGUUCCUGUAACCAAAGACUCUCCUCCCAGCAUCAGUGGAUCUGACAUCACUAGUGAUGUGCCCGUGGUGCCUCCUCAGUGCCCCACGAAAACAAAAGUUCUCCCACCACGCAAAGGCAGAGGACAGAAAUAUGAGGCCAUGGUGCAGAAGAUUACGUCCCCCGGCUCAAAGAAACACCUCCCAAUUACCCAGCUGGACAGCAAUCUAACGGAUGAUGUGACAACCAAGGCUUUGUCUGAACAUGUCUUAAAAGAAGGGGAGACAUCUAUGCUACUAAACAACACCAACAUGACAGAAGGACUGAAACAGCAAGAGGGAGUGGUGACAAAAGCAGAAGUGGCACAAGAAAGAGAAAAACAUGAGGCGACUGAAGAGGUAUCAAAACCAGAAGGGCUGAGACAAGGGGUGGAGGAAGAGGUUGUAAAUAAGAAUGAGACAAAACUGGAGGAUGUCGCAGCUGACAAGGUUUGGAGUUCAACAGAGUCUCCAGUAGAAGUCCUGGCUCCAGGUGAGUGGACACAACAGCCCUUAGAAGGUGCAUCUACUGUCACAACCAAGUCGACCAGAACUAAAAGGAAGAGAUGGGCGAUGGUGGAGAGUACAGAUGCUUCAGUAGUGGCCUUGGAAGCAGGGAGCCUCAUAGUUACAACACCAAGGUUAGCAAAGCAGAGGGCCAUUAAAAACAACCAUGAGAUGCACCUAAAGCAGAGGAGGAAGAAGAGAAAAGGACAAGGCCCUCUGGAGGAAACAGAGACCACUGAGGAAAUAAACACUGAAGCAGCAGAACAACAGGAGAGUUCAGAGGAGAAGGGAACCCUGACAGAGUCCACAGUAGCUCUGCCAAUCAGCCCAGAUGAGAUCACAGAAGCCUCCCAGGUUACCAGUACAGAACUCAUUCUCAAACCCCGAAGAGGCAGGAAACCAUCAGCAAACUCAAGCAAAAGGAACAGAGGCAAAGCGUCAUCAGAGCAGAUUCCUGGCAAGCAGGUGAAGAUACACAAAAAGCCUGGGCCAAAACCAGGGAUGAAAGAUGCCAUGGAGGUAAUAGAGGCAGUAGUAAGGGCUGCUAGUUGUGAACAGGCUGAAAAAGAGGAGAGAGAAAAGGACAAAAGGGAAAGAAGAGAAGGAGAAAAUACAGAAAAAGAGGAAACAUCCAUUGUGGGUCCUGUAGUCACAGUAUCAGAGAAACGGACUGAGGUUAUUUCUGUGAAAAGAAUCAGGCGCAGACCUGUUCAUCAAAACCCUAAACUGUCUUUCUGUCCUUAUGUACGGAUUAACAACUCCAGAGACUUUUCCUCUUGGUGUGCCAUCGUCAACAAGCCUGAAGACGCAGUAAUAUUUCAGAGACGCAGGAAAAAGGGCAUAUUAAGGAUGAGGAAUCCUUUCACGGUUGCAAAAGUAGUGCCACACACUGCUGCCAUGUUACAGGGACCCACAGUAAAUAAAAAUCUAAUUAGUAGGUGUCUUACAUGUUCCCUGUGUGGAAAGCCAGCAAAUUACAAAGACCUAGGGGAUUUAUGUGGACCCUACUACACAGAGGACAGCGUUCCACGGAAAAUCCUGGUGAUCAGGCACACGGAACCCUUCAGGGAAGAGUCGGACAAGCCGAAUGAUGACAGCAGUAGCAGCAACGAAGUGCCAGGCGACUCCUCAAAGAGCGAGGGUGAGGGCAGCACAGAGAAAGAGGGAAACGCAGAAUCGUCCUCUCAAGAGGGCAGCAGUAGCCGGCACCAUCACUGGCGCUACCGACGGGCGGAGAGAAUGGAAAGAUCGGGUCGGGAGGGUGGUCCGCGAAGAUUAACUCUACGCGAGAGGUUCAGGAGGAUGAAGCAGCUCCAGGCCAUCAGCACAUUGGCCCCGAGGGACCAAGAGGGCAAUGACUGCAUGUUCCAAAGGCUACAAAUGGAGGCAGAGGCUAAGGAGCACUGGGCCCAUGAAAACUGUGCCAUCUGGACCAAGGGAAUAAUUAUGGUAGCUGGGAGGCUAUAUGGACUGAAGGAGGCUGCCAACAACUCAGCCCAAACGAGCUGCUACAAGUGCCAGAUUGUGGGGGCGUCCCUCAGCUGCUGUUGGAGAGGCUGCUCUCAUAAAUACCACUAUGUCUGCGCCAAAGAGAUAGGCUGCACAUUCCAUGAGGAUGACUUCUCCAUCAAAUGUCCCAAACAUGAGCACAGAACAGCAACAACAACAAAAAAUUGAAUUCGCACAUUUCUGUCACAAGCAGCAGUGCCCUGACUGGAUGGAUGAUACUGUGCAGAACAGAAAACACAAUUGUCAGCUCUUGUAAAACAGAACACGAAUCAAAGGAAAAGAAACAUGUUCACUGUAUGCUGGCAUCAAGUUCACUUCUCUUUUUGCCAGUGGAGGCAGAGAUCUAAUCUUGAACCGGCUGAUCGUUUGCCUCCGAAUCGAUAAAGUGACCUUGGCGAGACAACAAACCGUCACCCAUGACUUGAGACGACUGCGAUCACGGUGUGAUUUUAGAGUUAAUGUGAACGGUCCACUCUGGAUUCAGCUUUCCUGCAGGAUAGACGCCAUCUGGUGGAGGUUUGCUUCCACUGCAGCGCGAGGAGGAAGGACCUGUAAGAUAUUCCUGUGUACCACCUCCACCUAUCCAGCGAGGCAAAAUGCUGUCCGAACAGCCACCUACACCUGAAAACAUGGCGAUUACCGAUGAUGGACGGGCGUGCCGGCCGACGGGGCCGAGGGAGGCUGCACUGAGGUGGAGCUCGGAGCAAUACGAACCCUGGAGAUGGGCUCGGCGGAGAACAGCUGCUCCCCGAUCCCGGCCGGGAAAUGUGUUUUCUGAACUGAGCCCCUUACUGCAAGGCAGACGGCAGGGACGGUGUUUAACAGGAGGAUAAGGCUGCGCUUUGGAGACCCGCUGCACACGGGGGACUGUUUGAAAUGCAGAGCGAGGGACGUGUGUGUGUUCUGCCUUCGGAUGGUUGCUAUCAUAUUCAGACACCUGGCGGACACUGAUUGGACAGGAACAUCCCUCUGGCCACCUUGACUGUGGGCCAAGAGUGCAUAUGCCUGUGUGUGUGUGCGUGUGUGUGCAUGUGUGAUAACCAUACAAUUGUCAUUCUACGACCACGUCAUCAGUGUGUUUGUGCACACGUGUCUGUGCGAGUGUGAAAGAAGUGCAUCUCCAAUUCAAGAUGUCAUGCAUCGGGAGGAGAAAAAAAACAAAAAAAAAAAAGCAGCAGCCAACCACUGGAUGUACUAUCUCAAUGUGUGUGUGUUCAAAACAAGAGACAAAUAAGGGAACUGUACAUGAUGAUGUGCUUUACAGGUUCUAAAUAUUCUGACACCGGAAGUAAAAAAAAAAAAACACGGACGCAGUAUUUUAAUAUAAUGCUCUUAUCUUCGGAGAUGUAUUUUGAUGUGCAUUAUGACUAAACGACAUCAUUGCGUCACCCUUGGUAUAUGUCAGGCUUUGUGUUAUUCAGAAAUAAAUAUAUAUAUCUAUACAUAUAUAUAUAUGAAAACAACAAAAAAUUAAUACGGGCUCUGUUUAAGAGUUCGAACUGUGUGCACAUUCAAUAUGUACAGUAGACAUCAUCACUGGACGGGCUGGGAGUCGUGUCAUCUCACUUCAUAUCUAUGUACAGAUCAGAAGUAUUAACUGUUAACCAUUUCAACGAUUAUUUCACACGCCACCGCCGUGCAGAAAGAUUCAGUUCAGAUUUCACCUGUCCCUUUGUGUAUCUAAAAUGUAGCCUCUUUUCACGCCGCCAUGCUAUAUAACUAAAGCGCCGCGCAGGGCGUCAGUUUAAAGUACUGGUCAUAUCAAAAUGGAGACAUAUUUAAGUAUUAGAGCAUAAAAAAGUGCAAAAAACGCCACACCAAACUCUUUUAUGAAGCUCAUUAUUUAAUGGUGUAUAUAAGUAUUUGAUGCUGUUUAAAUGUAAGAUGUGAUGUACUAAUAUAAUUGUGUAUAGUAUUUCCUAGAGAUGUUUAUUUUCUAUAAAAUGGAAUAUGUUAUUGCUUAUAAAAUGUUAUUAAAAGAAUCCAUUGAUGAAAAAAAAUAACGACCUUUUUUGGGAAUGUCACUUGUCUUAAGUGGGAGCAUGCCGUUUUACUGAUUUUCAUGUCCUAUUUGUUUGGAAUUGAUGACACAGCAUCACUUUGUUUGAAAUGUUUUUGUAACGCCAAUGUUAAAUAUACCAGCACCUUUCAAUGCUGCUACGACCAA